UACUCCAAUCUAAAUGUUAAACUUUCAGCACUAAUAUUUCCUUCUUGAACUAUUAAAUUGCUUCUAAAAUUAACCUAAACUAUUGAAAAUCAAGUCUAAAUUCCAUAUAAAAAAAAUUCAUUUCAAUCCAAUUAAUAAAUUGCUAAAGAUAUUUAAAAUACUUAUUGACCUUCAAAUUCCAAUUUUUGAGACCUCAAUCUACAAAAACCUUUUCACACUUUGAUCUAACUCUUUGAUUGAUCUCAAAAUUUGCACACAUACUAAUAAUAAGAAUAACAAC
Molecule: long non-coding RNA, 280 nt
Filed under: Physcomitrium patens
Lineage: Eukaryota; Viridiplantae; Streptophyta; Bryopsida; Funariales; Funariaceae
Description: long non-coding RNA (PPAT_LNC013074)
Source: RNAcentral